AACGCGAAGAACCUUACCUGGGCUCGAAAUGUACCGGAAUCCGGCAGAAACGUCGGCGUCUAGCAAUAGACCGGUAUAUAGGUGCUGCAUGGCUGUCGUCAGCUCGUGUCGUGAGAUGUUGGGUUAAGUCCCGCAACGAGCGCAACCCUUAUCUUCAGUUGCUACCAUUUAGUUGAGCACUCUGACGAAACCGCCUCGGAUAACGGGGAGGAAGGUGGGGAUGACGUCAAGUCCUCAUGGCCUUUAUGUCCAGGGCUACACACGUGCUACAAUGGCCGGUACAAACCGCUGCAACCCCGCGAGGGUGAGCUAAUCGGAAAAAGCCGGCCUCAGUUCGGAUUGGAGUCUGCAACUCGACUCCAUGAAGCUGGAAUCGCUAGUAAUCGUGGAUCAGCAUGCCACGGUGAAUACGUUCCCGGGCCUUGUA
Molecule: ribosomal RNA, 427 nt
Filed under: uncultured Acidobacterium sp.
Lineage: Bacteria; Pseudomonadati; Acidobacteriota; Terriglobia; Terriglobales; Acidobacteriaceae
Description: bacterial SSU rRNA
Rfam family: Bacterial small subunit ribosomal RNA
Source: RNAcentral